GCCUGGGUGGCUCAGUCGGUUAAGCGUCUGACUUCAGCUCAAGUCAUGAUCUCAGAGUUCAUGGGUUCGAGCCCCACAUCGGGCU
RNAcentral lists this transfer RNA (85 nucleotides) under Felis catus (domestic cat). It matches the Rfam family "tRNA". From Rfam's summary of the family: Transfer RNA (tRNA) molecules are approximately 80 nucleotides in length. The record is from Rfam by way of RNAcentral. RNAcentral also lists the same sequence under 1 other name. Lineage: Eukaryota; Metazoa; Chordata; Mammalia; Carnivora; Felidae.